AGCGAACGCUGGCGGCAGGCUUAACACAUGCAAGUCGAGCGGGCAUCCUUGUGGUGUCAGCGGCAGACGGGUGAGUAACGCGUGGGAACGUGCCCUUCGGUUCGGAAUAACUCAGGGAAACUUGAGCUGAUACCGGAUACGUGCGAGAGCAGAAAGGUUUAUCUGCCGAAGGAUCGGCCCGCGUCUGAUUAGCUAGUUGGUGAGGUUAUGGCUCACCAAGGCGACGAUCAGUAGCUGGUCUGAGAGGAUGAUCAGCCACACUGGGACUGAGACACGGCCCAGACUCCUACGGGAGGCAGCAGUGGGGAAUAUUGGACAAUGGGGGCAACCCUGAUCCAGCCAUGCCGCGUGAGUGAUGACGGCCUUAGGGUUGUAAAGCUCUUUUCUUCGGGACGAUAAUGACGGUACCGGAGGAAUAAGCCCCGGCUAACUUCGUG
This 437-nucleotide ribosomal RNA is filed under the name uncultured bacterium. RNAcentral's name for it is "partial 16S ribosomal RNA". It matches the Rfam family "Bacterial small subunit ribosomal RNA", at positions 29 to 507 of the family's 1533-position model. The record is from RNAcentral.